CUCCCAUAACAAAGCGACCGAGAAAAGAAUGGGUGGUGGUGCUGAUGAUUACCUGAAAAUCCAGCUUCCAUACCAGCAAUAGAAGCUAACCCAUCAUCUUCCUCAAUGAAACAAGGCCUUCUAGACCCAGAAGACGACUCCAUGACUAUUUUCUUGUAAAUUUGAUUAUAUAUAUGUAUAUCUAUAUAUAAAUAUAAACCCUUCUUUAGAUUUGUGGUUUUCUUGGAGUCUUGAGAGAAAGGAGAAGUAACGAAGAAGAGAAAGGACAAAGUAGUUCCUGGUUUAAAGAUGAGUUGGUGAAGACAAUGAACAAGAUUU
Molecule: unclassified non-coding RNA, 318 nt
Filed under: Hevea brasiliensis (rubber tree)
Lineage: Eukaryota; Viridiplantae; Streptophyta; Magnoliopsida; Malpighiales; Euphorbiaceae
Source: RNAcentral